Molecule: non-coding RNA, 793 nt
Organism: Perca fluviatilis (European perch)
Lineage: Eukaryota; Metazoa; Chordata; Actinopteri; Perciformes; Percidae
Source: the annotation of a RefSeq genome assembly
CAUUUAUUUCUUGAUGCAAGUAGACUCUUUGUAAGUGAUCAGUGGCAGCAGUGAGGAGGAAACAGCGUGACAUGUUGAGGACAGCUACAGUUCACUGACUCUGUGUGUUUGCAUAUGUGUCCUGCCUCUCUGCUCCCAGCCGUUAAGAGGCCAGUGUUGAUCAGUGGCUGUCCAGGCCUUUCAGAGACACUGGUACACCGGCAGCACAAUGAUGAUGUCACUGACUCUACUGCUGGCCACCCUGGGGCUCCUUGUUCAGGGUUCAUCAGGACAAAUCAUCCUGACUCAGUCUCCUGGAUCUCAGUCUGUUGUUCCAGAACAGACUGUCUCUAUCAGAUGUAAAACCAGUACAAGUGUUGGUAGCUACCUCAGCUGGUACCUUCAGAAAUCUGGAGAAUCUCCUACACUCCUCAUUUAUGAUUCUACAACAGUUCAAUCUGGAGUUUCAGAUCGUUUUACUGGAAGUGGUUCUGGCACUGACUUCACUCUGACCAUCAGAGGAGUCGAGGCUGAAGAUUCAGGAGCUGUCAGCAGGGUUACAUCCUACAAAAACCUCCCUCAGCUGGAGAGGAACUGAUCUGACUCAAUAGCUGCACUCAAACUAAAACAAACAGAACCUUGACUAAACUAAAAUAUAUUCAGUUAUAAUUGACUUUAAACAUUGUAACACUAAAUAUACUUUAUCUAAUUAUAAGUUAUACUGUAAUGUAUUUAAAUAAAAUAGGGUUUGAAACAUUCUGCUGCACAUCAAAGCUAACCUCUGUUGAAGUAUGAUUUCAAUUAUUUGAUAAGU